GACGAACGCUGGCGGCGUGCUUAACACAUGCAAGUCGAACGGAAAGGCCCUGCUUUUGUGGGGUGCUCGAGUGGCGAACGGGUGAGUAACACGUGAGUAACCUGCCCUUGACUUUGGGAUAACUUCAGGAAACUGGGGCUAAUACCGGAUAGGAGCUCCUGCUGCAUGGUGGGGGUUGGAAAGUUUCGGCGGUUGGGGAUGGACUCGCGGCUUAUCAGCUUGUUGGUGGGGUAGUGGCUUACCAAGGCUUUGACGGGUAGCCGGCCUGAGAGGGUGACCGGCCACAUUGGGACUGAGAGACGGCCCAGACUCCUACGGGAGGCAGCAGUGGGGAAUAUUGCACAAUGGGCGGAAGCCUGAUGCAGCAACGCCGCGUGCGGGAUGACGGCCUUCGGGUUGUAAACCGCUUUCUCCUGUGACGAAGCGUGAGUGACGGUAAUGGGUAAAGAAGCACCGGCUAACUACGU
Molecule: ribosomal RNA, 467 nt
Filed under: uncultured bacterium
Lineage: Bacteria
Description: partial 16S ribosomal RNA
Rfam family: Bacterial small subunit ribosomal RNA
Source: RNAcentral